RNAcentral lists this ribosomal RNA (497 nucleotides) under uncultured bacterium. Its description in RNAcentral is "partial 16S ribosomal RNA". It matches the Rfam family "Bacterial small subunit ribosomal RNA", at positions 28 to 507 of the family's 1533-position model. The record is from RNAcentral.
GAUGAACGCUGGCGGCGUGCCUAAUACAUGCAAGUCGAGCGAACAGACGCGGAGCUUGCUCCUCUGACGUUAGCGGCGGACGGGUGAGUCACACGUGGAUAACCUACCUAUCAGACUGGGAUAACUUCGGGAAACCGGCGCUAAUACCGGAUAAUAUAUUGAACCGCAUGGUUCAAUAGUGAAAGACGGUUUUGCUGUCACUUCUAGAUGGAUCCGCGCCGCAUUAGCUAGUUGGUAAGGUCACGGCUUACCAAGGCAACGAUGCGUAGCCGACCUGAGAGGGUGGUCGGCCACACUGGAACUGAGACACGGUCCAGACUCCUACGGGAGGCAGCAGUAGGGAAUCGUCCGCAAUGGGCGAAAGCUUGACGGAGCAACGCCGCGUGAGUGAUGAAGGUCUUCGGAUCGUAAAACUCUGUUAUUAGGGAAGAACAAAUGUGGAAGUAACUAUGCACGUCUUGACGGUACCUAAUCAGAAAGCCACGGCUAACUACGUG